AACGAGCGCAACCCCUGUCACUAGUUGCCAUCAUUAAGUUGGGGACCCUAGUGAGACUGCCUGCGCAAGCAGAGAGGAAGGUGGGGAUGACGUCAAAUCAUCACGGCCCUUACGUCUUGGGCCACACACGUAAUACAAUGGCCGGUACAGAGGGCAGCUACUAUGUGAAUAGAUGCGAAUCUCGAAAGCCGGUCUCAGUUCGGAUUGGAGUCUGCAACUCGACUCUAUGAAGCUGGAAUCGCUAGUAAUCGCGCAUCAGCCAUGGCGCGGUGAAUACGUUCCCGGGCCUUGUACACACCGCCCGUCAAGCCAUGGAAGUUCGGGGUACCUGAAGUCGGUGACCGUAAAAGGAGCUGCCUAGUUAACCAAUUUUUUGA
Molecule: ribosomal RNA, 377 nt
Filed under: uncultured bacterium
Lineage: Bacteria
Description: bacterial SSU rRNA
Rfam family: Bacterial small subunit ribosomal RNA
Source: RNAcentral